AGUCUAUGCCUCUGGAGCCGAUACUCAGCCCUCUGCAACCAUGGCUGUGCUGGCGGCACUUCUGCGCGGCGGCGCCCGCAGCCGCAGCCCCCUGCUCCGGAGGCUGGUGCAGGAAAUAAGAUAUGUGGAACGGAGUUAUGUAUCAAAACCCACUUUGAAGGAAGUGGUCAUAGUAAGUGCUACAAGGACACCCAUUGGAUCUUUUUUAGGCAGCCUUUCCUUGCUGCCAGCCACUAAGCUUGGUUCCAUUGCAAUUCAGGGAGCCAUUGAAAAGGCAGGGAUUCCAAAAGAAGAAGUGAAAGAAGCAUACAUGGGUAAUGUUCUACAAGGAGGUGAAGGACAAGCCCCUACAAGGCAGGCAGUAUUGGGUGCAGGUACCUGGAAGACAUUUUUGCUUUUAUACUUAAAAUAUGUAAAAGGGGCUGGGUGCGGUGGCUCACGCCUGUAAUUCCAGCACUUUGGGAGGCCGAGGCGGGUGGAUCAUGAGGUCAAGAGAUGGAGACCAU
This 506-nucleotide small RNA is filed under the name Pongo abelii (Sumatran orangutan). Its description in RNAcentral is "retained intron". Lineage: Eukaryota; Metazoa; Chordata; Mammalia; Primates; Hominidae. The record is from RNAcentral.